UUGGCUGGCUGAUGUUUUGCGUGUCGACAUCAUUUCGAUACAUGCGCACAACCAACUCACACUCACACACACACAAACACGAAUCGCAGUCGUGUAAAUUUUGCUUUCGUUUGUUUUGGACAAAACAACUACUUGCUGUCAAUCAAUUUCUCUCAUUUUUAAUGGAUACAACAAAGAUGUAACAAAAAUUGACAGAAAUACGCAGUUUUAUUCAUUUCUGUCCAUUUUCCAUGUAGUUUUUUCAAUUCUGUUCUGAUAACGAACGAUUUGAAAGGUAAAAGCACACAUAUAUAUUAUUUUCACGUUGGCUGCAGCGAAAUGAAACGUAUUUUUGUUUCAUUAGUUCCGGUAUGUGACGCCAGUUGUACAAUCGUCAGUUGUUUACAAUAAUACGGGUUUAUAGUUCACAAGACAAUAAUCUGAAAAGAAUCCACAGAACGUGUAACUUUUUAUGGGAUUUCGAUUCAAUUAUUCGUUUCUAAGUCCAGAAUUAAUUUUGAUUUUGGAUACAAAUUGCCGAACAACUCAACGAGACUGAAAGAUUCAGAGCCGAUGAUUCCAUUACUCCGCAGAUCCAUUACUCGGAAGAUUCUUCUUCGGGAAGCAUGCUAUAGAAAUACGGGGAAGGCCCAGGUUCUAAGGACUUUUCGAAUGUAACAAUUAUCAACAAAUUAUUUCGUGAACUACUAUACCAGUUAAAAAAAUAACAUAUGAAUUUUUAUUUAUUUAUUCUUAUUCUGGUACAAAUAACGAAAAAUUAUAUUUCCGCAAACGUUUUCGGUGGACAUUCCACCAUCCUCAGGCGAGUUUGAAACUAAACUAAAUACAAUAAUUGUCACAAUGGUUGCUAAAAUCAAAAUUCCUGUGUAUUUACAUUUCAAAUGACAUUUAAAUCACGGCUAAUGAGUGUAAACAUGCGAUUUUUUGUUGAAAAUGUCUUCAGUACUCAAUGGUUUUGUAAAAAUUUAUAUAAAGAUGUUUCAACUUGCGUUCUUUGGAUGUUCAUAUUUGAAUGCUUCGUUUUGUAAAUAUACAAAUUUCCAUAAGCAUCCGAUUUUCUUGGGUUAUUGACCUCCUUUAACAAACGGAAACCCGCAAAAUCAUGAUUGUUUUGCAACAUAUGAUCUGGCUGGUGUCGAUUUUCCGUAUGUUUUCUGAUGAAAUGGCCUGUAGUGUUCGUCAUACCGUUUACAAACUUCUCUACUACACUGUCCGAUGUACGGUUGGUUACAACCUGUGAAUAGUGCUGCAUAAAUACGAAAUUGAUCCAGCUCCUCGACUUUGGCUUUAAAAUUGCACAAGUGGGUUUUUAAUUUGUAACCCGUACUGUUUGGCGAAAGAAUAAUAAAAUGAUUUCGUAGAAUUUUUGUGAGUUUUGUUGUUAGUCCCUCAAUGAAAAAUCCACCCGAGUAGUAGCAAUCGUCAUCUCCAUCAAUGACAUUUGUUACCGAUUGGCUCAAGGACAACUCUCCUAUCCACUUUGAAUUUGACAAAUGAUAUUGAGCGCAAACACCACCUAGAUAAUCUAAGGCUAACGACAAUACAAUCAAGUAAACUGUCCGUUCUGUCAAACGUCAUACUGAAGUAUAACAUACAGACAUCACGAAUUCGCCAUCGGUUCUUUAGAUGGCGCUUCGGUCAACCGAGUUCCAACCAAAUACAUGUAUCAGUAUACGAAGCAUUCCACUGUUGCUCAAAGAUGUUGAUUCAUUCAAUUCUUUCUUUCGUUUAUGUUUUUUGAGCAAGGAGUCAAUGAUUUUUCUACUGAAACCAUUUAAAUCAGCAAUUCAAUGUAAUUUAUCAACCUAACAAUUAUGGUGAAAAACAUGCAGUACCAAGUUCCCGAACUAAAGCAGAAUUUUGAAAGGUAUUUGAUGAAUACGCUUGAUGAUAACAACGCUGUUGAUAUAGUACUUUGGUCUAGCAAUCAUUCCCGCGAAUUGAAGAGUUCCACCUUGAAAUAUAUCCAUGAAAAUCGUGAUGCAGUGACGAAAUCUGUCCAAUAGAUCAAGUUGAAGGCGACCAACCCAUAUGGAGCUUUUAUGAAAUUUUAUGAAUAUUCCAUUCGUCGCAGAUUGUAGAUCACCGGAUACAACGUUGUCUAACUGAAAUUUCAUAUUUGAAUAAAUCGAUUUAGAAAUACAGGAAUAAACGUUUACAAUUACCUCAA
This is a long non-coding RNA of Sitodiplosis mosellana (orange wheat blossom midge), 2170 nucleotides long. RefSeq lists it as uncharacterized. Lineage: Eukaryota; Metazoa; Arthropoda; Insecta; Diptera; Cecidomyiidae. The transcript is spliced from 2 exons. The record is from RefSeq and is a predicted model, not a curated record.